Molecule: ribosomal RNA, 495 nt
Filed under: uncultured bacterium
Lineage: Bacteria
Description: partial 16S ribosomal RNA
Rfam family: Bacterial small subunit ribosomal RNA
Source: RNAcentral
GACGAACGCUGGCGGCGUGCCUAAUACAUGCAAGUAGAACGCUGAAGGAGGAGCUUGCUUCUCUGGAUGAGCUGCGAACGGGUGAGUAACGCGUAGGUAACCUGCCUGGUAGCGGGGGAUAACUAUUGGAAACGAUAGCUAAUACCGCAUAAGAGUAGAUGUCGCAUGACAUUUGCUUAAAAGGUGCAAUUGCAUCACUACCAGAUGGACCUGCGUUGUAUUAGCUAGUUGGUGAGGUAACGGCUCACCAAGGCAACGAUACAUAGCCGGCCUGAGAGGGUGAUCGGCCACACUGGGACUGAGACACGGCCCAGACUCCUACGGGAGGCAGCAGUAGGGAAUCUUCGGCAAUGGACGGAAGUCUGACCGAGCAACGCCGCGUGAGUGAAGAAGGUUUUCGGAUCGUAAAGCUCUGUUGUAAGAGAAGAACGAGUGUGAGAGUGGAAAGUUCACACUGUGACGGUAUCUUACCAGAAAGGGACGGCUAACUACGUG